GACGAACGCUGGCGGCGUGCUUAACACAUGCAAGUCGAACGGAAAGGCCCUGCUUUUGUGGGGUGCUCGAGUGGCGAACGGGUGAGUAACACGUGAGUAACCUGCCCUUGACUUUGGGAUAACUUCAGGAAACUGGGGCUAAUACCGGAUAGGAGCUCCUGCUGCAUGGUGGGGGUUGGAAAGUUUCGGCGGUUGGGGAUGGACUCGCGGCUUAUCAGCUUGUUGGUGGGGUAGUGGCUUACCAAGGCUUUGACGGGUAGCCGGCCUGAGAGGGUGACCGGCCACAUUGGGACUGAGAUACGGCCCAGACUCCUACGGGAGGCAGCAGUGGGGAAUAUUGCACAAUGGGCGGAAGCCUGAUGCAGCAACGCCGCGUGCGGGAUGACGGCCUUCGGGUUGUAAACCGCUUUCGCCUGUGACGAAGCGUGAGUGACGGUAAUGGGUAAAGAAGCACCGGCUAACUACGUGCCAGCAGCCGCGGUGAUACGUAGGGUGCGAGCGUUGUCCGGAUUUAUUGGGCGUAAAGGGCUCGUAGGUGGUUGAUCGCGUCGGAAGUGUAAUCUUGGGGCUUAACCCUGAGCGUGCUUUCGAUACGGGUUGACUUGAGGAAGGGUAGGGGAGAAUGGAAUUCCUGGUGGAGCGGUGGAAUGCGCAGAUAUCAGGAGGAACACCAGUGGCGAAGGCGGUUCUCUGGGCCUUUCCUGACGCUGAGGAGCGAAAGCGUGGGGAGCGAACAGGCUUAGAUACCCUGGUAGUCCACGCUGUAAACGGUGGGUACUAGGUGUGGGGUCCAUUCCACGGGUUCCGUGCCGUAGCUAACGCUUUAAGUACCCCGCCUGGGGAGUACGGCCGCAAGGCUAAAACUCAAAGGAAUUGACGGGGCCCCGCACAAGCGGCGGAGCAUGCGGAUUAAUUCGAUGCAACGCGUAGAACCUUACCUGGGUUUGACAUGGAUCGGGAGUGCUCAGAGAUGGGUGUGCCUCUUUUGGGGUCGGUUCACAGGUGGUGCAUGGCUGUCGUCAGCUCGUGUCGUGAGAUGUUGGGUUAAGUCCCGCAACGAGCGCAACCCUUGUUCACUGUUGCCAGCACGUUAUGGUGGGGACUCAGUGGAGACCGCCGGGGUCAACUCGGAGGAAGGUGGGGAUGACGUCAAGUCAUCAUGCCCCUUAUGUCCAGGGCUUCACGCAUGCUACAAUGGCUGGUACAGAGAGUGGCGAGCCUGUGAGGGUGAGCGAAUCUCGGAAAGCCGGUCUCAGUUCGGAUUGGGGUCUGCAACUCGACCUCAUGAAGUCGGAGUCGCUAGUAAUCGCAGAUCAGCAACGCUGCGGUGAAUAAAUUCCCGGGGCU
RNAcentral lists this ribosomal RNA (1347 nucleotides) under uncultured bacterium. RNAcentral describes it as "partial 16S ribosomal RNA". It matches the Rfam family "Bacterial small subunit ribosomal RNA", at positions 28 to 1381 of the family's 1533-position model. The record is from RNAcentral.